Molecule: transfer RNA, 68 nt
Filed under: uncultured Oribacterium sp.
Lineage: Bacteria; Bacillati; Bacillota; Clostridia; Lachnospirales; Lachnospiraceae
Rfam family: tRNA
About the family: Transfer RNA (tRNA) molecules are approximately 80 nucleotides in length. Their secondary structure includes four short double-helical elements and three loops (D, anti-codon, and T loops). Further hydrogen bonds mediate the characteristic L-shaped molecular structure. tRNAs have two regions of fundamental functional importance: the anti-codon, which is responsible for specific mRNA codon recognition, and the 3' end, to which the tRNAs corresponding amino acid is attached (by aminoacyl-tRNA synthetases). tRNAs cope with the degeneracy of the genetic code in two manners: having more than one tRNA (with a specific anti-codon) for a particular amino acid; and 'wobble' base-pairing, i.e. permitting non-standard base-pairing at the 3rd anti-codon position.
Source: RNAcentral
GCAAUAGCUCAGUUGGUAGAGCACUUGACUUUUAAUCAAGUUGUCGCGAGUUCGACUCUCGUUUGCCU